This 823-nucleotide non-coding RNA is filed under the name Nanhaipotamon hongkongense. The record is from RNAcentral. Lineage: Eukaryota; Metazoa; Arthropoda; Malacostraca; Decapoda; Potamidae.
UAAAUGUUUGAUUCUGGCUUAUAAUCUUUGUUAUAUUAUCAAGAUCACAUGAAAUUAAUAUAAGCGGGUAAAAAAUUAAUUUUAUAUUAAUAUUAGUAGUGAUAUAAGUAAAAUUAUAAUUAUUUAUAUUCUCAGUGUGGAUUUUUAGCUAAGUAUAUGGAAGUAUGAGCUAGUGAAUAAUAAUAUUAAUUAAAUCUGAUAAAAUACUUGUGCCAGCAUUCGCGGUUAGACUUGGGGAUUAAGUAAAGAAAUUAUUAUUAAGUUACUUGUAAAGUAUAGUUAUAUUAUUUUAAAUAAUAAUAGGUGAAAUUGUUGUUAUUAUGAAAGUUUGAGUGUAUUUUAAGGAAGCUAAUAAGCUUUAAAGAUAAACUAGGAUUAGAUACCCUAUUAUAUUGAAGUUUAAUAAAUAAAUAUUAAAUUAUUAGUAGGUAUAGCUUAAAAUUUAAAGAAUUUGGCGGUAAUUUAGUCUUGUCAGAGGAACCUGUUUAAAUUAAUCGAUACACCUCGUAAUAUCUUGCUUGUUUUUAGUUUGUAUACCAUCAUUAUUAGAUGAUUUCUAAAGAAUAAAUCAUUAAAAUUAUAUUGUUAAAAAAAUUAGAUCAAGGUGCAGCUUAUAAAUAAGUUUAAAUGGGUUACAAUAAAAUUUAUUUAAAUGGAAAGGAUUAGUAAGGUGAGUUUAGGAAGGUGGAUUUGAUAGUAAUACAAGUUUAAUAAGCUUGUAAGAUAAAAGCUCUAAAUUAUGUACAUAUCGCCCGUCGCUUUCAUUAAUUAAUGAGAUAAGUCGUAACAUAGUAGAUGUACUGGAAAGUGUAUCUAGAAUUAU